RNAcentral lists this ribosomal RNA (253 nucleotides) under uncultured bacterium. Its description in RNAcentral is "partial 16S ribosomal RNA". It matches the Rfam family "Bacterial small subunit ribosomal RNA", at positions 524 to 776 of the family's 1533-position model. The record is from RNAcentral.
UACGUAGGGGGCAAGCGUUGUCCGGAUUUAUUGGGCGUAAAGAGCGUGUAGGCGGCCAUGUAGGUCCGUUGUGAAAACUCGAGGCUCAACCUCGAGACGCCGAUGGAAACCAUGUGGCUAGAGUCCGGAAGAGGAGAGUGGAAUUCCUGGUGUAGCGGUGAAAUGCGCAGAUAUCAGGAAGAACACCCGUGGCUAAGGCGGCUCUCUAGUACGGUACUGACGCUGAGGCACGAAGGCCAGGGGAGCAAACGGG